AGAGUUUGAUCCUGGCUCAGAGCGAACGCUGGCGGCAGGCUUAACACAUGCAAGUCGAGCGGGCAUCGCAAGAUGUCAGCGGCAGACGGGAGAGUAACACGUGGGAACAUGCCCUUCGGUUCGGAAUAACUCAGGGAAACUUGAGCUAAUACCGGAUACGUCCGUAAGGAGAAAGAUUUAUCGCCGAAGGAUUGGCCCGCGUCCGAUUAGCUAGUUGGUGAGGUAACGGCUCACCAAGGCGACGAUCGGUAGCUGGUCUGAGAGGAUGAUCAGCCUCACUGGGACUGAGACACGGCCCAGACUCCUACGGGAGGCAGCAGUGGGGAAUAUUGGACAAUGGGCGCAAGCCUGAUCCAGCCAUGCCGCGUGGGUGAUGAAGGCCCUAGGGUUGUAAAGCCCUUUCGGCGGGGAAGAUAAUGA
This 420-nucleotide ribosomal RNA is filed under the name uncultured soil bacterium. Its description in RNAcentral is "bacterial SSU rRNA". It matches the Rfam family "Bacterial small subunit ribosomal RNA", at positions 8 to 454 of the family's 1533-position model. The record is from RNAcentral.